AGUGCAUGUUCUCCUGGCUUUGUUUUCUAACCCACGCGCCUCCUGUCUGCUGAGCCUUGGUGCCUGUUUGGUGAGGAGUGUGUGUGUCUGGUGUGCAUUUGUGCAUUUUUGUGCUAUUAACUCUUACACGGGUUUGCUCUCCGGACCUAUGCCCUGGUUACCCUAUGACCCAUAAAGGACACACCAGGAGCUGGUAACCAGUGCAGAGGGACAGUCGUAUCCAUUUUUAUAGCCCUUUGGAGGGGAACAGUCUGCCUGCUUCUGGAUGCUGUGUUCAUGAGCAGUUUUGUAACUAGACCCUCCUAGGGAUCUGGAGUCAAAUGUGAAAUUCCCAAGGAUACCGGCACAGUGCAGGUUUAUGAGGAUGGCAAGAAAGAGGUCUGGGGACAGGGAAUUUUGUUCCUCCCCAUUGUGAGGGGAAGGAAAGGGUCAGAGAGACCAGCCUCCCUCUGGAGGGUGUCAAGGUUUAUAGUCACUGGGCUCAGCCAGCGGCUCACCGUGCACCCUCAAACAAGCAGGCUCCUCUCCUGGGUCUCAGUUGCCUGUCUAGGUCCCAUGAUCUAAAUCUUUGACCUCACUACUUGCCCUUAUAAAGAACAAAGUUACAAGCAUUCCCUCCUGCAGACAGAGCAGGUGGCCUCGUAGGAAGUUCAGAGCCAGUGCCCGCUGCUCUGCAACAUUUUCCACCCUGGGGACCCUUGUCAAUUUGCAAAAUUUCAUCUGAGCCUCUGUAAAUGGGGGAAAGAAAGGUCCCCUCAUAGUCAUGGGUGAAAAGUGGUAGGCCCCUGUCUGUAUCGUAGGUUGGCUGCCCUGGUAAGGCUUAGAUAAGGAACUGAAAGACCCUUGUAAUUAGCCAAGACUGGGCCCCAGAAGAGAGGGGAAAAGAGCAUCAAUUGCCCAUGAGUGGUCCUGGAGCAAGGGGACCUACUGGGCUUCCACGCUAGGUCAGCAGGUGUUUCAAAGCUAGUGACCCACUUUGCCUGACAUGAGGAGUUGAAGCCAGGCAUCCAGACUUCCCGGUAGCUGCCAGCUGCCAGGACCACAGCCUAGGGCAGCUCACAAGGCGAGGGGAAGUCAGUGGCCCCAGCACUUGGGUGUUGUCCUCAGAGAGAUCAGCACUAAUCACGGUGUUGCACUCAAUAGUGAAGGAGACGCCACAGUAUGGCAAGAACCCCGUGGUGAUGGUGGACGAGAUCAUGAGCUCCAGCCCUCCCAAGUUCACCUUCCCUGAAGCAGGCUUACGAAUCAUGAUCACCAAUAAGUUUGGACCCAGGACCCGACUACGGAUGGCCAGCAGGAUCAUCAUUAAUGAGCGGCAGAGACUGAUCAACUCGGCCAACGGUGUGAGCAGCAAGCCGCUUCAAAACGGGAGACACGAGAACAUUGAGAACGGGAAUGUUCCUGUGGAAAACCCCGAAGACCCUCAGCAGAAUCAGGAGCAGCAGCCACCGCCACAGCCACCACCGCCGGAGCCAGAGCCAGUGGAGGCUGACUUCCUGUCCCCCUUCUCCAUGCCGGAGGCCAGAGGGGACAAGGUCAAGUGGGUGUUCACCUGGCCCCUCAUCUUCCUCCUGUGCAUCACCAUUCCCAACUGCAGCAAGCCCCGCUGGGAGAAGUUCUUCAUGGUCACCUUCAUCACCGCCACGCUGUGGAUUGCUGUGUUCUCCUACAUCAUGGUGUGGCUGGUGACUAUUAUCGGAUACACACUUGGGAUCCCGGAUGUCAUCAUGGGCAUUACUUUCCUGGCAGCAGGGACAAGUGUUCCAGACUGCAUGGCCAGCUUAAUUGUGGCGAGACAAGGCCUUGGGGACAUGGCAGUCUCCAACACCAUAGGAAGCAACGUGUUUGACAUCCUGGUAGGACUUGGCGUACCGUGGGGCCUGCAGACCAUGGUUGUUAAUUACGGAUCAACAGUGAAGAUCAACAGCCGGGGGCUGGUCUAUUCCGUGGUCCUGUUGCUGGGCUCUGUUGCUCUCACCGUCCUCGGCAUCCACCUAAACAAGUGGCGACUGGACCGGAAGCUGGGUGUCUACGUGCUGGUUCUCUACGCCAUCUUCUUGUGCUUCUCCAUAAUGAUAGAGUUUAACGUCUUUACCUUCGUCAACUUGCCGAUGUGCCGGGAAGACGAUUAGCGCUGAGUCGCGCCCCUGGGAGCUGAUCUGGACACUCUGUGACACUGGCGUCCUCCUCUCCCCUCCUUCCCCCACCACAGGUCUCUCCUGCAUAGGCAGCCACUGUCCGUUCUUUCACACACCGGAAGGAAGAGCCAUCGUGGUCUUUGUCUGGUCACAGGCCAGGCUGCUGGGCAUCCUCCUCCUCCUUGGAGUUCCGCCCCUGCAAGGCUGGAUUUGGGGGCCAUUAUCUGAGCAGCUUCGAAGACCCCUGAGCUGCCAACUACGGAGAUGUGCCAAGCAUCUCAUCUCUCCUGCACACUUUAGUCAGAAGGACUUCUGCAUGCAGUUUGUCUUUCUGUUCUGCAGGCAGCCUCAGAAAUGAGGUCAUUUGUGAGCACAAGAUCUCAUAGGGCCCUUUUCCUGGAAAAACUGGAAGAAUGAAAAUAAUUUUUUUCUGUGGAAGAGAGAAAAUGAGUGAAUAUUCUUCUCACUUUUAUUGAUGCAUUCAGAGAAUAAGCAAUGAAAUAUUAAAAAAUGAAACAUCAUAUAGGUCAUCAUACUUGAAAACUAUCAUUCCAUAUGAAAGGAUCAUGAUACACACCAAAAAAGCAAUGAUCGUAAAGACACAAAUCCUCUGUACGCCGUCUUGCAUUGGCACUGAGGUGUUUGGUUUGGAAUAGGGAAAAAGGUAAGAGACUGACGUGGAAAGGUGCUAACUCAGAGACUGGAGAUUAUAGUUUACAGCUGUACUUUCCAGAUCUUCUAUGUGACACAAUGCACUGUCCUUGUGGGUUUGUCAAUUAUUUGUUAAUGCUCUAGUUUCAAAACCACCCUGUUGAAAGUUCCAGUUAUUUAUAUGCCCAACAAAUUUCAUAGCCUGCUGAACUGGACUGAGUGUGUCAGAAGUGCUGGUUAAUGACGAGAAGAGAGAUUGCCUGAAAAACAACAAACUGCUUUCUGGUUAGCUGAAGGCAAGUGUGAAAAUCAUAAUUUAGAAUAUUUAGAGCUAAGCUUCUGGAACCACGUAGUUUACUACACGUGACAGGCCAAGAAUGGGAGGCUGACUCAAAACUAGAUAGAAAAAUAUAAAAUAAUUUUCGACCACUUGAUAGCUCUCAAAUAUAUAUUUAAAAGAUUUAUGAAUACAAACCAUUUAUGGUUUAUGGUUUCUAAAAAAGAAAGCACAAUUAAUUUUAUAGAGAGGUUUUUUAUUUUUUUAAUAUUUCUAUUGCAAAAGUCUAUCCGAUUUGAUGCACUUUGAAUAUUGAGAUAUUUUGCACGGAUGAAUGUAUGGGAACUACCCAUGAUGAUGUAAGAGGAAAGAACAUUUUUUUGUGAUUCACCAGACAUCACUUUAAACUUGGUGAUGAGUUUAAAUCCAGUAGCUAAUCCCUUCCUGAGACUCAAAGAUCGUGACCCUGGUUGGAAUUUCUGACUGUGCUCUUUAGGGCCUCCUGAGUUUCAAAAGGAGGAAGUGUUCGUGCUUGUGUCCCUUAAGUUCCCUGUUGCAUGAGCCUGCGACAGGACCUCACCCCCACCACCAGGCUUCUAUUUGGGAUUCACGUCAGUAUUAGUAUCGUAGCUACACCAAGUUCAGGCUUCUCUUUUUGUUUUUUUACCUAGAAAUUGGGCUCAGUGGUCUUCAACUUGAGGAUGAGGGUGAUUUUCCUAAGAAAUCAGCAAAGAGGGAAGGCAGGGACCCUGCAGAUUCACCAAUAUAAACUAGCUGCAGGGAUUUCAGAGCCCUUGGGACCACUCUGUCCCCUUAAUAGCUAAGUUCUCCUGGUUCCUCCGAUCUUACAGGCUCAUCCAGGUUCCAAAGUGCUUCUGUCUCUGUUUUGAUUCUCCAAACUGCUCUGUGAUGUACGUAGGGAUUAUUCUCCCCACUUAACAGAAAGUAGUGUCUUGGAGAGGUCAAGGGUCUCUAGUUCAAUGGCCAGUCAUAGCAGAAGGGAGGCCAAGCCCCAGUCCAUCACCCCUCCCAGGCCAGCCUCUGUAAGUUGGCCAUACUUGGGGAGUGAGUGUGGGUAUGACUUUACCUUCCUGGUUAGUUCUUACUGUUUGAGUCAAAACCUCAUCAAUAUAUCAUUGACUCCUGGGUUCCUCAGGUCAUUUCCUAAUAUCUGUCCCUAUCCAAUGCCUCUAUUUUUUCUUGAAAAAAGGACCAAAAAUUAUUUUUAGCUAUGACAAGGCACAGGCCACGUGGCCCUUGAUGGUGUCCCUGCUGGUUUUCAAUUCUCUGAAGCCUUGUGUAGCUUUCAGAGCACACGUAUCCUAAUUACCCUCCUCUUCCUCAGCAGAACACAUUUGAGAUUCUAAAUGGAUACUGUUAGUCUCUAAAGUUGCAGUUAGAAACUAAAAUAAUGUUUUUUAAUAUGUAAUAUGCUCCUCUUGGCUAAUUUUCUUUUGACUUUAACGUGCCAAUGUAACUUCCUUUAAAGGAUCUAUGCAUUUAUUAAAUCUAGAAAACUA
Molecule: small RNA, 4586 nt
Filed under: Pongo abelii (Sumatran orangutan)
Lineage: Eukaryota; Metazoa; Chordata; Mammalia; Primates; Hominidae
Description: retained intron
Source: RNAcentral